AUUCUUAACAGGCAUUGCAAGUUUACUUUGAACAAAUCAGAGUGCUUCAAACAGGCGUUUUCGCUUGAAUGAUCGUGCAUGGAAUAAUAGAAAACGAUUUCGGUUCAGUUUUAUUGGUUUUACGGACUGAGAUAAUGGUUAACAGAGACAAACGGGGGCAUUUGUAUGGCCCCGUGAGAGGUGAAAUUCUUGGACCGUGGCCAGACAAACUACAGCGAAAGCAUUUGCCAAGAAUGUCUUCAUUAAUCAAGAACGAAAGUCAGAGGUUCGAAGGCGAUCAGAUACCGCCCUAGUUCUGACCGUAAACGAUGCCAACUAGCGAUCCGCCGAUGGAAAUUAUAUUGCCUUGGUGGGGAGCUUCCCGGAAACGAAAGUCUUCCGGUUCCGGGGGAAGUAUGGUUGCAAAGCUGAAACUUAAAGGAAUUGACGGAAGGGCACCACCAGGAGUGGAGCCUGCGGCUUAAUUUGACUCAACACGGGGAAACUCACCCGGCCCGGACAAUGUGAGGAUUGACAGAUUGAUAGCUUUUUCAUGAUUCAGUGGAUGGUGGUGCAUGGCCGUUCUUAGUUCGUGGAGUGAUUUGUCUGGUUUAUUCCGAUAACGAGCGAGACUCUAACCUACUAAAUAGCUGGUACAUAAUUUAAGUGUAUACAGCUUCUUAGAGGGAUUUGCGGUGUUCAGCCGAAAGAAAUUGAGCAAUAACAGGUCUGUGAUGCCCUUAGAUGUCCGGGGCUGCACGCGCGCUACACUGGCAAAAUCAACGUGCUUGUCCUACCCCGAAAGGGGCGGGUAAACCAUUGAAAAUUUGCCGUGAUUGGGAUCGGAAAUUGCAAUUAUUUUCCGUGAACGAGGAAUUCCAAGUAAGUGUGAGUCAUCAGCUCGCGUUGAUUACGUCCCUGCCCUUUGUACACACCGCCCGUCGCUGCCCGGGACUGAGCCAUUUCGAGAAAUUUGGGGACCGUUGAUUUAAUUUUUCUAAAUUACUUUGAUGGAAACCAAUUUAAUCGCAGUGGCUUGAACCGGGCAAAAGUCGUAACAAGGUAGCUGUAGGUGAACCUGCUGCUG
RNAcentral lists this ribosomal RNA (1066 nucleotides) under Meloidogyne incognita (southern root-knot nematode). RNAcentral describes it as "SSU rRNA". It matches the Rfam family "Eukaryotic small subunit ribosomal RNA", at positions 730 to 1823 of the family's 1831-position model. Lineage: Eukaryota; Metazoa; Nematoda; Chromadorea; Rhabditida; Meloidogynidae. The record is from RNAcentral.